RNAcentral lists this ribosomal RNA (513 nucleotides) under Cladosporium cucumerinum. RNAcentral's name for it is "eukaryotic LSU rRNA". The stretch from base 147 to 300 matches the Rfam family "5.8S ribosomal RNA". Lineage: Eukaryota; Fungi; Ascomycota; Dothideomycetes; Cladosporiales; Cladosporiaceae. The record is from RNAcentral.
AACCGGCUCGGCCGGGAUGUUCAUAACCCUUUGUUGUCCGACUCUGUUGCCUCCGGGGCGACCCUGCCUUCGGGCGGGGGCUCCGGGUGGACACUUCAAACUCUUGCGUAACUUUGCAGUCUGAGUAAACUUAAUUAAUAAAUUAAAACUUUUAACAACGGAUCUCUUGGUUCUGGCAUCGAUGAAGAACGCAGCGAAAUGCGAUAAGUAAUGUGAAUUGCAGAAUUCAGUGAAUCAUCGAAUCUUUGAACGCACAUUGCGCCCCCUGGUAUUCCGGGGGGCAUGCCUGUUCGAGCGUCAUUUCACCACUCAAGCCUCGCUUGGUAUUGGGCAACGCGGUCCGCCGCGUGCCUCAAAUCGUCCGGCUGGGUCUUCUGUCCCCUAAGCGUUGUGGAAACUAUUCGCUAAAGGGUGUUCGGGAGGCUACGCCGUAAAACAACCCCAUUUCUAAGGUUGACCUCGGAUCAGGUAGGGAUACCCGCUGAACUUAAGCAUAUCAAUAAGUCGGAGGAA